AUUUAGCAGCAGGUACAGAAAAAUAAAAAUCGUUACAUUGAUUGUGCUUAAAUAAUAGAAACGACCAAAAAGCUUUAAACCAUCUUAUUUUAUGAUCCAAUGAGCAGUCGUUCUGCAAAUGCCCAUUUAACUUUUUUAAAUUAAACUUUUAGUUUAGCUGACUUCCCCAUAGCUUCCAGGGAUCGGAGGGAAAUUAUUUUAGCCUACCAGAGAAAAAAACGCUUGUAUAGCUCUAGCCUUAACUGUUUUCAGAGUUUGAUUUCCUUUCUUUCAUCUGCUGCCUUUUAGGAGGAUUUGCCCUCAGGUUUUAAUUUUUGUAAAUCAGUUGUUUAAGAUCAAAGAAGAUAAAUGCUCCUUGGAAGGAAGUAUCUGAAAUACACAAACCUACGCUCUUUAAAAUCAGGUACUCAAUAAGUGACCACCAUUCGGUCAUUUCAGAGGGGCGGGGGGAUUCACUAAAGGACUGAUAAGUUCAACUAUUCAAUCCUGUUACACCGGCUAGUCCAAGAGGCCUUUCCCACAUAAUGACCAGAGACGUAUGAAAGUAGAAAAGGGACAGGAAAUUAAAUCUAAAGAUACAGUCGCUCUGAAACAAAUGCAUGGUUUUUCCCCCCUCUCUGAUGUCUGUGAACGAACUCGUGGCGACACAACGGCUUAGCUGUCGCCACAAGUAAGUGGACUUGGCAGUCCUGUCGAAAUGACCUUACAGUUUCAAGUCUAGGAAACAGUCUUUUUUUUCAGGUAAAAGGGCACGAAUCUGAUCACCCACACAAAUACUGCGAUUUCAAAUAAAAAGACCCAGGCAGCAAAGAAACGACGAUCGCUUCGUGGAAGUGAAAAGAACUCCGAUUUCUACCGAAGGGAACUGACCUGAGAUUUAGUUCAGAAGUUCAAAGCCUUUGCUAACCGCAGCUCAGCAGCUAACCGACACUAGAGGGCGCCAUGGGUCCAGUUUCAUUAAUGCGACAGGUUUAUCUAAAGCAUCAACCGAGAUCAAGUGCAUGACCUUGAGGCAGUUUCCAAAUGCUACAUUCAUGCUUCACUGUCCACUCAGAAACUGUUCGUGCUGCAGGAACCUGAGGCAUAGGGGGAAAGCUGGUGGCCCAGCCAAGAAAAAUGCACUGUCAGCAUAACUCAGACUAGCCAUCUGUAUACUGUGGUACCUUAGUGGGAGGCCCAUUGGCAUGGUAGGGGCUUUGGCACUAGGAUCUCUACAGCGUUUGACAGUGUGAUGGUGAAAACUGGCAUGCUGGGCACCCCCUUCCCCCCCCCCCCCAUCUGGCAGUUAGUUGUGCAAGGUUAGUUCUGAGUGUGUGAAUCUGGGAACACUUUUGUAUAUGAAGAAUAGGUAUAUAUACAUUAAGCAUUUGUAUAUGUCUGUAACAAGGAAUGAUUCUACCUCAGGCAAGGGGCUGGACUAGAGCAGCGGGUUCCCAAUCUGUGGUACGUGUACCACAAGGGGUACACAGACAACCUGUCAGUGGUACACAUUAACAAAUUUAUUCCAAUUACUUUAUAUGACAAAAAUUUGUUGGUGGUACUUAUGGUUGAACUGAAACAUUUGCUGGUGGUACUUAAGGUUAUAUCAUUUUAAAUUGGUGGUGUGCAAUCUGUCAGAGUUUGGGACCCUCUGGACUAGAUGAUCUCCGAAAGUCCUUUUCAGUCCUUCUUCUCUACCAUUUCAAUGAAGGUGCGCUACAGGCACGGGUCUGGAGUGGGUAGGGGCAAACAGUGGCUAAAACAUUAAGUCCCUCCCGUGGGGUCAGUGCCAGAGCGGGGAGAUGCAGAGCUAACAAUCUUUAACCUACUCAUGUCAUCAGAGCCAACAGCUCCGCUGAUCAUUGCAGCUGUGGGUCUCAGAUGAGUCCUCCAGAGGCUAUUCUGCUUAAUACACUUCCCAAAAGUGAAACUAGGUAACAACAGGGGAUCUUCCCAUUCCACCAGAGGGUGAUCUCUAGCCAGUUCAUUGAAAAAGAAGCAGAGCUCUCAAUGACUCUGAAGUCUCUCUCAACCCCUGACCAGCACCAUAAACACACUCCGGGUGGCCCCCGGGUGAACUUUUAGUAUCCCCCCACUGCCCUUGCCAGAGAUAAUUAUAAUAAUAAUUUUUAAAUUACCAUUUUCAGGCCCCCUUUUUGUCCAGGCCCCACGUAGCUGCCCCAUUCGCCCAUGCCUGUGUCUGGCCCUGCCCGGACAGGUGUGUGAGGAUACAACCAGGAACACAGAGGGACAAGAUUGUGGGAUGUGAAUUGCCUUCUGAGUCCAGGAGGGGGCAGUCUCUGGUUAAAACUGAACAAAAGUACUUUGGUGAAUUUAGAGAUUUGCAUGAAGAACAGGGCUGAUUGCUCUUGUCAUUUGCAGCUCUCUCCAAGUGAGGGCUCAGAGGACUGUGGUAUAAGAAGGGUUGUAAAACUGGAAAGAGGCAUAAGGAUGACUUGUAUUUAUUUACACUGCAGGAUUUGUUUACUACGGCAGUCCUUUAAGUUCCAGUUAAAAGGAAACUGUCAAAAUAAUAUAGGUAAGUGUGUGUAUGCGUAGCUCCUAAUCAGUUUGGUCUGCCCAUGAUCAUUGAAUGAUCAAAUAAUUCAUUUUUUUCCCAAAGUUACAAAUGAAUUAAUUAAGUAGAUUACUUUAUUUUGAUGUAAUUGAAAGGGCCUCCAAAGCUCAUGGGGAUUCUAUAUAUUCUUUGCAAGAUGUGCAUACCUCUACACAGAGAGCUAACAAAUGCUCCCAAAUGUUUGGUUUCAGCCAGGCAUAUUACUUAACUGAGAAGCCAAGCUUUCUCUCUGUCCUCAUAGAUGCAUCUUGUCCUACAAUACAGUCAGCGGAAUAGCAUGGUAGGUAAUGUCCUACCAUUUCUCCUAGGAGACAGACUCUAUUCCUUGCUCUGGCCUGCUGACUGGCCUUGGGUAAGCUGUUUGCUACUUGCCUCAGUUUCUACAUCUGUAAAAUAAGGCUAAAGAUACUGGAACUGUUCUAGGAAGCUCAAGCUAGGAGGUUGCACAAGCCCACUCAUGUAAAGCACUAACCCAUCAAAGCACUUAAAGCAUGUGCUUAACCUUGAGCUGGUGAGUGGCACCGUGGACUUCCAUGGGACUGCGUCACCAGCAUACUUAAGCAUUUUUCUGGACCUCGGCAGGGUGCAAAAUAUUUUUUUCGAAUACAGGGCCCACUGGCAUUUCCAGGACACAUGUUCAAAGAAGUGAUGAACACUAGUGGUGUCUUGACUAUUUCCAGGAAAAGGCACUAUAAGAAGGAAAUGGCUGCUGAGGGGAGGGGUUGUAGGAAAAUAAAUGAGUGAAACCAAGUUAAAAACAAAAUCCUCCAGCAGUCUCUUUCUUUCUUGUUAAGGGUAAAGUGUGGAAAAUACAAAGUAGAAAUCAGAGAAAGCCCUUCAGAUUGGUGAGGAUGGGAACAUGGGCUUUUUGGCCCAAGCAGGCAGGAGAAGUUUCCAGCAGAAAUAGCAGGAGUGAGAGGAUUAUUACAAAAGGCCGGAGUGUCAGAUCUCAGCACUGGGAGUUAAAAAGAGCCUAUAAACUCCACUUUCCAGAGAUGGAGCCAGGGCAAGGUCGAGAGUUAACUCCUUAAAGUCUACAGAACAGUGAUAGUGCUCAGGAGAGUCUUUACCCCCAUGCAGCAUGAAGCCUGGCCGAAGUUUGCUCUCAGCCUUUACCCAGAAAGCUAUAAAGAGGUAACAGGCAGCUCUGUCCCAAUGAGUGUUUUAUGCAAUGCCAUAAAUCCAGUGUCCAGACGAACUGUCCCACUCAGCAUCCUAGUCCAUAGCCAAUUAGCAUGAUACUUUUAAUAAUACAAAUGAAUCCUAAUAACAUUGAGUGGCUUAUGUGGCCUGAGGUUUUCCAAAGAGCCUAAGAGAAUUGAGUCCCAACACUUCUAGAAUUUCAAUGGGAGUUGGGCCCCUACAUUAAUAAUAAUAUAUUGCGGGGGUGUAAAAAAUAUGGCCCAUGGGCUGGAUCCAGCCUAUGGAGGUCCAUCAUCCAGCCCACAGUGCUGCUCCUGGUCCAGAGUUGACCUACGCUCCGGGGUACACGUGGCAUAUGUCCUGGACUGGCCCUACAGAGGCACUUCAUGAGGCAUAGCUCUGCACUUGCCAGAGCAGGUGCCAUGGAUGUGGCAUGUGGGGGCAGAGUUCUGGCCUGAUAGGAUUGGCCCCAUGCCAUUUCAUCUAGCCCAUGGAUUGGUUUGUGGAUUGGCCUGUGGGUGGCCAAAUGGAUUGGCUCUGCGCCAAUUAUCCAGCUAACAGGGCCAUAUGAGUUUGAUACCCUUGAUGUAUUGUAUGAAAGUUAAAGUGUAAAGUCCCACCCUGCUAAGCACUGUGCAAAAAUGAGAUGCUCUGGUCCCUGCUCCAACAAAUGUAUAAAUCAAAUAAAGAAAAUAUCUUUAAGCUCCUUUGCAAACUGCAUUUAUGCUGCCCAUAUAC
Long non-coding RNA from Alligator mississippiensis (American alligator), 4438 nucleotides. RefSeq lists it as uncharacterized. The record is from RefSeq and is a predicted model, not a curated record. NCBI's taxonomy places the organism in Eukaryota, Metazoa, Chordata, Crocodylia, Alligatoridae. The transcript has 3 exons.